This 1465-nucleotide ribosomal RNA is filed under the name uncultured organism. RNAcentral describes it as "partial small subunit ribosomal RNA". It matches the Rfam family "Bacterial small subunit ribosomal RNA". The record is from RNAcentral.
UGGAUGAACGCUGGCGGCGUGCCUAAUACAUGCAAGUCGAGCGAACGGACGAGAAGCUUGCUUCUCUGAUGUUAGCGGCGGACGGGUGAGUAACACGUGGAUAACCUACCUAUAAGACUGGGAUAACUUCGGGAAACCGGAGCUAAUACCGGAUAAUAUUUUGAACCGCAUGGUUCAAAAGUGAAAGACGGUCUUGCUGUCACUUAUAGAUGGAUCCGCGCUGCAUUAGCUAGUUGGUAAGGUAACGGCUUACCAAGGCAACGAUGCAUAGCCGACCUGAGAGGGUGAUCGGCCACACUGGAACUGAGACACGGUCCAGACUCCUACGGGAGGCAGCAGUAGGGAAUCUUCCGCAAUGGGCGAAAGCCUGACGGAGCAACGCCGCGUGAGUGAUGAAGGUCUUCGGAUCGUAAAACUCUGUUAUUAGGGAAGAACAUAUGUGUAAGUAACUGUGCACAUCUUGACGGUACCUAAUCAGAAAGCCACGGCUAACUACGUGCCAGCAGCCGCGGUAAUACGUAGGUGGCAAGCGUUAUCCGGAAUUAUUGGGCGUAAAGCGCGCGUAGGCGGUUUUUUAAGUCUGAUGUGAAAGCCCACGGCUCAACCGUGGAGGGUCAUUGGAAACUGGAAAACUUGAGUGCAGAAGAGGAAAGUGGAAUUCCAUGUGUAGCGGUGAAAUGCGCAGAGAUAUGGAGGAACACCAGUGGCGAAGGCGACUUUCUGGUCUGUAACUGACGCUGAUGUGCGAAAGCGUGGGGAUCAAACAGGAUUAGAUACCCUGGUAGUCCACGCCAUAAACGAUGAGUGCUAAGUGUUAGGGGGUUUCCGCCCCUUAGUGCUGCAGCUAACGCAUUAAGCACUCCGCCUGGGGAGUACGACCGCAAGGUUGAAACUCAAAGGAAUUGACGGGGACCCGCACAAGCGGUGGAGCAUGUGGUUUAAUUCGAAGCAACGCGAAGAACCUUACCAAAUCUUGACAUCCUUUGACAACUCUAGAGAUAGAGCCUUCCCCUUCGGGGGACAAAGUGACAGGUGGUGCAUGGUUGUCGUCAGCUCGUGUCGUGAGAUGUUGGGUUAAGUCCCGCAACGAGCGCAACCCUUAAGCUUAGUUGCCAUCAUUAAGUUGGGCACUCUAAGUUGACUGCCGGUGACAAACCGGAGGAAGGUGGGGAUGACGUCAAAUCAUCAUGCCCCUUAUGAUUUGGGCUACACACGUGCUACAAUGGACAAUACAAAGGGCAGCGAAACCGCGAGGUCAAGCAAAUCCCAUAAAGUUGUUCUCAGUUCGGAUUGUAGUCUGCAACUCGACUACAUGAAGCUGGAAUCGCUAGUAAUCGUAGAUCAGCAUGCUACGGUGAAUACGUUCCCGGGUCUUGUACACACCGCCCGUCACACCACGAGAGUUUGUAACACCCGAAGCCGGUGGAGUAACCUUUUAGGAGCUAGCCGUCGAAGGUGGGACAAA